GCCAAUGCAUGCUUUUACAGUAUGAAAAUUGGUGAUUUAUAAUAACUUAGCAAAUCGCAAAGUGAAAACAGGCGAUAAAUCAUUCAAGUUUCUGACCUAUCAGCUUUCGACGGUAUGGUAUUGGCUUACCGUGGCAGUGACGGUUAACGGGGGAUUAGGGUUCGAUUCCGGAGAGGGAGCCUGAGAAACGGCUACCACAUCUAAGGAAGGCAGCAGGCGCGCAAAUUACCCAAUUCUAACAGUUUGAGAGAGGUAGUAACAAGAAAUAACAAUACAAGGCAGUUAAAAUGCUUUGUAAUUGGAAUGAUAGAAAUUUAAACCCUUUUUAAAGUAUCAAUUGGAGGGCAAGUCUGGUGCCAGCAGCCGCGGUAAUUCCAGCUCCAAUAGCGUAUAUUAAAAUUGUUGCAGUUAAAAAGCUCGUAGUUGAAGUUCUGCUAAAAGUAACCGGUCUGCUUUGAAUAAAAGUGGUAUCUUGGUAUGUAUUUAGCAAUGAUGUCCUUUGAAGUGUUUUUUACUUUAUUGUAAUAAAGCAUAUUCAGGACUUUUACUUUGAGAAAAUUAGAGUGUUUCUAGCAGGCCAACGCUUUGAAUACUGCAGCAUGGAAUAAUAAGGAA
Molecule: ribosomal RNA, 615 nt
Filed under: Hepatozoon canis
Lineage: Eukaryota; Apicomplexa; Hepatozoidae
Description: SSU rRNA
Rfam family: Eukaryotic small subunit ribosomal RNA
Source: RNAcentral